Molecule: long non-coding RNA, 775 nt
Filed under: Homo sapiens (human)
Lineage: Eukaryota; Metazoa; Chordata; Mammalia; Primates; Hominidae
Description: HSALNT0134953
Source: RNAcentral
GUGCCUGUUUCUUGCACUAACCCAAGCUUUUUUCACAUCACAUAGGGCAGCUGGGUCUAUCCCACUAGGCCCACGGCCUUCUAGCUUUUCCUUUUGUCAAAGCUCUUAAUGGUCAUCACUCACUCAAACUUUUUUAAAAGACAUGAUUUUGUUCUUCCUCCUGGGGAUAUUUAAAAACCAGUUAAGCCACUUGCACAUUUUUUUCCACUUAUGCAAUUUUUGAAUGCUGGUUAGACAUGAUUUUAAAUGCAGCAAGUCAACCAAAGUAUCAACAAUGCAAGGAGCAGGAGUUUUCCUGGUAGGCCACGGAAGGGCCUAGUGGCAGGAGACAGAAAAGAGGGGACAGGUUUGGGUCACGGUCCUGGGGGCAGCUGAGGAUCAGGUUGCAAAUGCCCCAGAUGUGCCUGAGAGAGCGGCAGCAGCCAGCAUGGAGGGGAGCAGUGGCGUUCUCAGCACCAGUGUGUUAAGGUGGGGCUCACAAUUUCUUGGGGCCUUCCCUGGGUUACAGCAGCGAGUUUGGAGGGGGCUUUUCUCUUCCCAAAUCUGAGGUCAGACAACAGUGCUUAUGUGACCUACCCUUGGAGGGCAGAGAUGGGCCAUUCUCCAUGGGCCCCCAGGGCUGGAAUGGAGUUCCAAACUGCAGAAGACCAUGCCCCUAGAGGCUCCAGAGACCGUGAACUUUUUCAAUGACACGUUUGAAAAUCUAUUACAAAUUAAUAUCAGUACCUGAUUUUUUGAAGAUGAAGCUGACAGGUAUUAAAUGAAAACGGAAGCA